Ornithodoros turicata is the source of this 516-nucleotide long non-coding RNA. RefSeq lists it as uncharacterized. NCBI's taxonomy places the organism in Eukaryota, Metazoa, Arthropoda, Arachnida, Ixodida, Argasidae. The record is from RefSeq and is a predicted model, not a curated record. The transcript has 4 exons.
UCCUGUGAUUCAGUGAGGAGCUUCGCCGGAAGACGGGUUUCCUGCUCCUCCGUUAUAAAAGCGACACUUUAUCAGCAACCUGCUAUGCUGAGGUACAUUCCACCAAAGGAGCACCAAAGAAAAACAUAAUGCAGCGUGCAGUGAUCGCCAUCUUUGUGCUCGUCCUUGUGGCCUGCGCUUUGGUAGCCGUUGAAGCCCAAUUCGGCCGAGGGUACGGCGGUGGAUACGGUGGAGGUCGCGGCUUCGGUGGUGGAUAUGGUGGAGGUCGUGGAUUCGGUGGAGGAUAUGGCGGAGGACGCGGAUUCGGCGGUGGACGCGGAUUCGGCGGUGGAUACGGCGGUGGCCGUGGAUACUAUGGUUAAUCCAUCUACAGCAGGAGGCACAGCGAUGUUCCACUCCGACUAAGAAGCUGCCCAUCCAAGCAGAAUGCUGACCUAUUUGCAAAAUAAUGAGAGGCUGUGUGCGACAUGCUGAGCUUGUGAAACGACGUGAAUAAACAGUUUUCAUCGGUUGUGA